RNAcentral lists this small RNA (26 nucleotides) under Bombyx mori (domestic silkworm). RNAcentral's name for it is "ovarian small RNA-12076". The record is from RNAcentral. Lineage: Eukaryota; Metazoa; Arthropoda; Insecta; Lepidoptera; Bombycidae.
AGCCCAAUCAAUCUGAGUGGCGGUGU